UUUUAUUAAACAUGUUGACCCAGGCGACGACCCAUGGCCUAAUGUUUUAAAGAAAAAUGCUGACAAUUCCUUUUGUUCUUCUCUUUUUUCACAUUGUUUCAUAAUGUCGAGGAUUUAUGAUAGCUGGGAGAAGUUAGUCGGAGCUGUUUUGAGGAGAGAGGAAGACCGCCAACUUGCUCUUUGUGAAAGCUUCAGUAGCUCAAGUUCAGCUGAUCUCAGUUCUCGUUUCAGUUUCAGUUUUAAUCCCUUCGUCGGUGAUGUUCAUGUGCCUCCUGGAGUCUCUAAACAGAGGAUUUUCUCUUCCCGUGAUCUGAUGGCCGUAGAUUAUAAAGAGAUAGAAGAGGCUACCAAAAACUUUCAUCCAGACAUGUUGUUGAGCGAAGGAGGAUUUGGUCGUGUACGGGACGUGGAACUGCAGUUGCUUUCAAGAAGAUGAACGACGAAGGAUCUCAAGGAGACGAGGAGUGGAUGCGUGAAAUAAAUUACUUGAGUCGGCUUCGCCACCCAAACUUGGCGAAGCUUAUUGGAUAUGGCUUUGGCACAGACGACAGGAUUGUGGUAUACGAGUUCAUGGCCGGAGGAAGCUUGGACCAUCACUUGUUCACAAGAGGGCAUCAACCUCUCCCUUGGGCAACAAGAAUCAAAGUGGCUAUAGGUGCAGCUAGAGCUCUCGCUUUCCUGCACGGUUA
Molecule: long non-coding RNA, 689 nt
Organism: Salvia miltiorrhiza (redroot sage)
Lineage: Eukaryota; Viridiplantae; Streptophyta; Magnoliopsida; Lamiales; Lamiaceae
Exons: 4
Source: RefSeq, a predicted model, not a curated record